UCUACCUAUCUGUUAUGUAUUUCAUCCUGCCAAGGAAUCCAACAAUCAGCUGUCUCCCGUUUCCCGAGAGUUCGCCGACCAGUUUUGUUUUCAGAAAAGACUACAGUUUAACUUCACCAGGCACAAUCAUCAGAAUGAGAUGCAGGAACAUAUUUUUUAUUUUACCAUUCAGUAUGAGAAACAUUUUACAAAUAAUCGUGUAUGCCCAAAAGGUAUUUGUGCGGAUCAGCGAAUCCGGUUUUUGUGGAAUAAUUCAAUUAAGGGCUAUGAUGUAGCAGCAGUGGAGAGUAAGACCAAUCAUACGGCUUCAUCCCACCCCGGCAGCAGAUGAGCGCUGGCGAAUGUUCUCAGCCACCUGGAGGAGGAGGUUCAGCGCGGAAAAAAUGUUACCAGACAUCGCCGAUCUGGUGUCUGGACUUUUUUGAUAAUUUCAUAGAGAUUGGGUGUGCAGAUGGGCGGUUGGAGUUCUGAGAGGGAACGACUGGUAACUUUAAGGGUAUAUAUGAAGCCGAAAACACCCACAACAAUGGGGUAACUAACAUAAAGCUCGCCGGUGACAAAGUGAUAUUCGCACGGUUGAGUGGACGAAUCGAUUCUCUGAGACUGGAAACGUACACGCAAGGUUGUCAGAUCGAUUGGGGAUUUACGUCUGCAUAUGGGCGAACUCACGUACGCACCGGUUCUUCAGGAAGCAUUAGUUUAUUUCAGCAAUCCGUCCACAACGUUGCCAGCUCAACAUAACACAUCCGAGGAGGAGCUUUGAUGUAUCCUGGAGUUUCACCAGUAGGGUCACCGAUGACAUGUUUGGAAGUGGCGGGCGGUACAGUCAUGACUGGCAGCCAGGGCCACACUGUUAAAGUGUUCCGACUCGAUAGCCACCUAUUGCAGUUCACCCUAAACGGCCAUUGCGGCCCUAUCACAUGUAUUUUCAUAGACCAGUGGCAGGCCGAGAUGGGCGCAUCUGGUCGCCAGGAUGGUGUGCUAUGUGUGUGGGGCUUGAACUAGAACAGCUCCUACAAGACAAUGGUUACGAGAGUGUUCAGCAGGCCGUUGGUAAGGGAGUGGAUAAUUUUUAUAGUGUCGAUUGUUGAUAACAGGGCCAUUUAAUGGCGCCGCAAAUAAAUAUAGAAAGUUA
Molecule: long non-coding RNA, 1135 nt
Organism: Topomyia yanbarensis
Lineage: Eukaryota; Metazoa; Arthropoda; Insecta; Diptera; Culicidae
Exons: 3
Source: RefSeq, a predicted model, not a curated record